GGGCUCGUAGUUUAAUGGUAGAACACAGCAUUCGCAUUGCUGAAAUCCGAGUUCGAUUCUCGGUGAGUCCA
This 71-nucleotide transfer RNA is filed under the name Candidatus Woesebacteria bacterium GW2011_GWF1_31_35. RNAcentral describes it as "tRNA-Ala". It matches the Rfam family "tRNA". From Rfam's summary of the family: Transfer RNA (tRNA) molecules are approximately 80 nucleotides in length. Their secondary structure includes four short double-helical elements and three loops (D, anti-codon, and T loops). The record is from RNAcentral. RNAcentral also lists the same sequence under 2 other names. Lineage: Bacteria; Candidatus Woeseibacteriota.